UGCAUGUGUAAGCGAAGCGUAACGUGGAGCGGUGAAAGGCUCAGUAACGGGCGACUUAUUUGAUCUCUUGGGACGGACAACACCGGGAAACUGGUGGGAAAACGUCUAAGUUGCAAUUGAGUAAAGGUUGUGACGGAAACUGUAUAGUGCAAGAGAGUAAGAUGCCAUCCUAUCAGUUAGUAAGUAGGGUAAGGGCCUACUUAGACGAAGACGGGUACGGGGAAUGAGGGUUUGAUUCCGGAGAGGGAGCCUGAGAGAUGGCUACCAGGACCAAGGUCAGCAGCAGGCGCGAAAAUUAUCGAAGCCCGCAUUGGGGCGAUAGUGAGGAGACGUGAAUUUUAGGUGCGGGUAAAAAACGCACUAGUAACUGGAGGUCAAGUCUGGUGCCAGCAUCCGCGGUAAUUCCAGCUCCAGGGGUGUCUAUGAUGAUUGCUGCGAUUAAAAAGUCCGUAGUCAAGCCGCCAGACCAGUCUGGAAUGUUUCUUGAUUAAGAGAUGAAUAGGGCUGGGAAAGCGGAGAAUUAGGAGCGACCGAGGGCUAGAGUAUUGGGUGGCGAGAGGUGAAAUUUGAUGACCCAUCCAGGAGUGACAAAGGCGAAGGCACUAGUCAAGGGCGAAUCCGAUGAUCAAGGACGUAGGCUAGAGUUUCGAAAACGAUUAGAGACCGGAGUAGUUCUAGCAGUAAACUAUGCCGACGCCGUGAUAUGAGGAUAUUGUAUUGCGGAAGAGAAAUCAAGUAAGGCUUUGGGGAGAGUACGCGCGCAAGCGAUAAAUUUAAAGGAAAUUGACGNAGGAACACCACAAG
RNAcentral lists this ribosomal RNA (804 nucleotides) under Dictyocoela sp. HYAL. RNAcentral describes it as "partial 16S ribosomal RNA". It matches the Rfam family "Microsporidia small subunit ribosomal RNA", at positions 51 to 807 of the family's 1311-position model. Lineage: Eukaryota; Fungi; Microsporidia. The record is from RNAcentral.